GUGGGGAAUAUUGCGCAAUGGGGGAAACCCUGACGCAGCGACGCCGCGUGAGCGAAGAAGGCCUUAGGGUUGUAAAGCUCUGUUUUAAGGGACGAAUGUCGUGGGGAGUAAUAUGCUCUGCGAAUGACGGUACCUUAAGAGGAAGCCCCGGCUAACUACGUGCCAGCAGCCACGGUAAGACGUAGGGGGCGAGCGUUGUCCGGAAUUACUGGGCGUAAAGAGCACGUAGGCGGGAACUUAAGUCAGGUGUGAAAGACCGGGGCUCAACUCCGGGGUUGCACUUGAAACUGGGUUACUUGAGGGCAGGAGAGGAAAGCAGAAUUCCUGGUGUAGCGGUGAAAUGCGUAGAAAUCAGGAGGAAUACCAGUGGCGAAGGCGGCUUUCUGGACUGACCCUGACGCUGAGGUGCGAAAGCGUGGGUAGCAAACAGGAUUAGAUACCCCGGUAGUCC
RNAcentral lists this ribosomal RNA (451 nucleotides) under uncultured bacterium. RNAcentral's name for it is "partial 16S ribosomal RNA". It matches the Rfam family "Bacterial small subunit ribosomal RNA", at positions 354 to 796 of the family's 1533-position model. The record is from RNAcentral.